CCCGAGCGGACGUUCGUCGCCGUUGUGCGGCACGACGGUGGAGGAUGAAGAGGAAAAGUAAACGAAUGUUUAUAAACAUCGCUUAAGAGACGUAGACGAGGACGAGGGCGAGGGCGGCGUUGGUGGGGCAGAGGGAAGAGUAAGUCGAAGCUGAAGAGGUUGCGUAGGUGGAUGGUGUAUCUUCUGGACUUUAAGCUCCCCCUACGCUGGCAAGUACCGCUGGACCAACUGGAGUGGACAUUGUGAAUGUUCUACUUGGGGUGAAAGACAUACCCUGCCCACAGCAUGGCCGUGGGCCACGGCAAGAUACUGUUGCAGUGGCCGCUCCACCGGUCGAAGGUCCGCGCCAAGUGGAAGCACUAGGUAUAGCUGCUGCUAUGAUUCUUGUUGUUCCCCCUGCCGUACUGAAAGAAAGAACGGAGAAUGGGCAGUUGAUACGGCGGUUUGAGUCCGCCCCCAUUGGAGCCGUACUACGGGAAUCCGUUGCCGUUCUCGGGUUGGCGGAAGCCCUUACUGGCCAAGUAGCGCCACCUUAAGCUGUGGAUGCUGUUGAUGACCCUGGGGUUGUGGUGGAUGCUGGUGUAACCGUAGCUGUAGUCGAGACAGUACCUGAGCCACUUGUGCUGUUAUGACCUAUCGAAGUCGGAGUUACCGUGGUACUGCCGGUGCCAGUGGAAGCUGUUGUGGUGGGCCUACGACCAUCGUCUGGACGUCAAACUACUGGUCUCAUUGUUAGAGGGCCAAGCCCAGUGGUGCGUUAAUGGGCUAGGUCAGUGGAACGAGGGCGGAGUCCACCGGUAACCCAAAAGACCUCGGUGUCCGCGGUCGAACCUCGACGUAGUCUAUGAUAGUACCAGGAAGUUGAGGAGCGAACGAGGCGGGGUGUUUCUAGUACUGUACUUCCGACGUUAAUAACCUCCCAGCGAACCUCCUCGACAUCGUAACCACCAAUACCACACCACAUAGUAACGUACAAAGUUCACCUGUACCUCGUGUUCGGUACUGGAACAUCGUGUUUGACCUCCUGGGUCUGCCAAGCUGAUGGCACUAGACCGAAGACGUUGUCUGUUGAAGAGAUUCGUUUCCCAAUAACCCUCUCCACGGAAACCUCUUCAGAUGUCCCCAUGUAGCAACUUGAGUUUUCUUAGUAUACCACCGCUCCACCGACAUUUCUUCUAGAACUUGUUCUAUUCCCCUCCUUUAGUCCUGAAGAAGUGACUCUACUUGUGGUAAUCGCUUCGCUUCGUAUCCUUAGAGCAGUUCUCAAAACUUAAAGUACACGACUUUAGUGUUUUGCUUUAGGUUUUAGAACCGACCACAACGUACUUCUUUUUCCUACUUCUCGAGAAGGAACAGAUACUCGACCACGGAUUGCCGUUAGACGUGGUGGUGGAUGUACUCUGUCUCGUCGGUUAUGUCACCGGUUGUUCCAUGGUUUAGUAGUUUCUGUAACCGAGACGGGAACAAAUGGAGGUGGUACUGACGCGGGGUGGGUAAGACGUGUCUCUGUAGUUUGGUCCGUUGUAGGAGAAUCUGUUGUUGAAGUUGCGGUUCGAACGGCUGAAGCCCGACAGUUCCUAGCCGUUGGUUCUGUUGCACUGCGAUUACUGCUGACGACAACCCUGUCUUCCCAUGUAUCUAGGUCUCACGUCCUUUCGCCCCUUUCAGUUCAAGUUGGAAUCGAGUCUGCAGAAGUCGAAGCCCUAGCAGGAGAACCUGUAGUGCACGUGCCCUUUCAGGUCCCUCGUCCAGACCCUAGACAUACAUUCUCCGUCCCACUACCUUCGAUGUCUACUGUCCGAUGUACCAACACCGCUGAGCCUGUACUCCGUCUACCUCGCACACCGAUAGGAUCCCGAGACCACAAGAGAAGGACUGUCAUCCUUCUCCGGAUGGUCAUUCCUUCGUUACCUCCAGGAGCUUGCACCACACAGCAACGGACUGGAAUUGGUGGACAACUUGUGAUGAAGCCACGGGAGGAGUUACGUUGUUCUAUGGAUGUGAUGAUCAUCGAGCCCGGGUGUUCGUGGCUGCAGUCUACUUUCGGGUAAACCACUCGCCGUACGUACU
RNAcentral lists this ribosomal RNA (2070 nucleotides) under Triticum aestivum (bread wheat). Its description in RNAcentral is "partial small subunit ribosomal RNA". The record is from RNAcentral. Lineage: Eukaryota; Viridiplantae; Streptophyta; Magnoliopsida; Poales; Poaceae.